This 254-nucleotide unclassified non-coding RNA is filed under the name uncultured fungus. Its description in RNAcentral is "sequence contains ITS1, 5.8S rRNA gene". The stretch from base 206 to 254 matches the Rfam family "5.8S ribosomal RNA", at positions 1 to 49 of the family's 154-position model. The record is from RNAcentral. Lineage: Eukaryota; Fungi.
UUUCCGUUGGUGAACCAGCGGAAGGAUCAUUACAGAGAUCAUGCCCCUCGCGGGUAGACCUCCCACCCUGUGUUAUUACGAUUGUUGCUUUGGUAGGCCGCCUUCGGGCACUCGGCUCCGGCUGAGGUGCGCCUGCCAGAGGACCUACCUAAAACCCUUUGCAAUACCUGCAGAACUGUCUGAUAGCGAAAGCAAUUUAAAUCAAAACUUUCAACAACGGAUCUCUUGGUUCUGGCAUCGAUGAAGAACGCAGC